RNAcentral lists this ribosomal RNA (468 nucleotides) under uncultured bacterium. RNAcentral describes it as "partial 16S ribosomal RNA". The stretch from base 20 to 330 matches the Rfam family "Bacterial small subunit ribosomal RNA", at positions 47 to 358 of the family's 1533-position model. The record is from RNAcentral.
GACGAACGCUGGCGGCGCGCUUAACACAUGCAAGUCGAACGGAAAGGCCCUGCUUGCAGGGUGCUCGAGUGGCGAACGGGUGAGUAACACGUGGGUGAUCUGCCCCUUACUUUGGGAUAAGCCUGGGAAACUGGGUCUAAUACUGGAUAGGACCAUGCUGUAGGUGGUGUGGUGGAAAGAUUAGUUUCGGUAAGGGAUGAGCUCGCGGCCUAUCAGCUUGUUGGUGGGGUAAUGGCCUACCAAGGCGUCGACGGGUAGCCGGCCUGGGAGGGUGGACGGCAAGAGUGGGAGGGAGAGGGGGCCGAGACCCUGAGGGGGGGAGGGGGGGGGGAAGUGGGCACAGGGGGCGCGGGCUGGAGGCGGCGACCCGGCGGGGGGGAGGCGGGCGGGGGGUGGGAAAACCCCUUGCAGCAAGGACGAAGCCUUUGUGGGGCGGUUGGUGGGAGAAGAAGCAGCGCCAACCUAGGG